GCAGCCGUAGCUCAGCUGGAUAGAGCACCACCCUGCGAAGGUGGGGGUCAGACGUUCGAAUCGUCUCGGUUGCACCA
This 77-nucleotide transfer RNA is filed under the name Patescibacteria group bacterium. Its description in RNAcentral is "tRNA-Arg". It matches the Rfam family "tRNA". From Rfam's summary of the family: Transfer RNA (tRNA) molecules are approximately 80 nucleotides in length. Their secondary structure includes four short double-helical elements and three loops (D, anti-codon, and T loops). The record is from RNAcentral.